Molecule: long non-coding RNA, 949 nt
Organism: Magallana angulata
Lineage: Eukaryota; Metazoa; Mollusca; Bivalvia; Ostreida; Ostreidae
Exons: 5
Source: RefSeq, a predicted model, not a curated record
GAAAAAAAAUUUCUGGAUCCGCGCAUGAUCUGCAUGUACAUGUCUGAUGCUGCUUUAUCACUCAUGUCUUUGAAAUGAAUGCAUGUGAACAUGUGUGAAGAAAAGCCUUGCUACUGUGCGUGUUUAUUGGUUUAAACUAUGCAUAAAUAAAGUUGUUUCAUUAACAGAAGCCACGUGUCUUCUUAAAAUUAAUUCGAUAACGAAUCCGGAAUUAAUACGAAAUCGGUUUUAGUUUUGUCGAUGACAAAAUAUACGUCACAUUUUUACGUCACGGAGGCAGAAGAUCGAACUGCAGGAUGGAUAUAGCAGAGGCAUGCAUUGGCUGCUUGACAUAUCCCUGGAAGAGGACACCAACUAGCUAACACAGUCAAUGACAGAUGUUUCUUUGAAUUGAUAAAAUCAUAAUCAAAUGGAUAUAAUACUGAAGUUUCAAAGAUCUGUUUUGAUGUAGCCUGAAGAUUUUGUAAUGAAUGAUCCAGGAUCCAAAAGUUCUUCGCGGAGUUCAAAGACAGUUGCAAUGUGGUUGCUAAUUUAGUGACAGAUUAAGAAAGAAGUUCAAACAAGCAUUGUCAUGGGAAAACAUUAAAAAGGAAGAAGUUGGAGGUGGACAAAAAUCAGGAUGAAUAUACAUGUACUGGAGAAACUAUUAAAGCACAGAAGAAUGACAACAAUAUAAAUCUAAAUGUAAUCAUUCAAGGAAUUAAAUUCAUUUUUAAUCUCGAAACUGUCUUUUUUGUGUAACUCUAAUUUUAGAUUAACAAGUAGCUGGAAAUGCAAAAUGAAUGUUUCCAAAGAUCUACUGAAGUUACUGAGUAAUUAAUUGAAAUGAUUCAAGCAGCAAGAUGAAGUAUAUCAAGAAUGAACUGAAAAAUUAAAAAUAUUCAAGUAAUUUAAUUUUAAGCAAUUUACAUGCGAUAUGUAUGUAAUUCAUGUGAAAAACGUACGUUGG